RNAcentral lists this long non-coding RNA (1460 nucleotides) under Mytilus galloprovincialis (Mediterranean mussel). Lineage: Eukaryota; Metazoa; Mollusca; Bivalvia; Mytilida; Mytilidae. The record is from RNAcentral.
AGAGAUUCACAUUUAUUGCAGAAGAGUGUUAAACAAGAAUAUAAACAAUAAAUAAAUCACAACCUUAAAAAUAGUACAAACAUACUUCACUACAAGCAUACAUGAGUAUCAAACUUAAGAAACACACUUUAUUGAACAAGAUUUAUACCCAAACUUUAGUUCAGCUUUGUUAAUUCAAAUUUAUAUAAAACAGAAAAGAUAUGUUUGAUUUCUAGUUAUGUUGGAUAUGUCAUAUAAAAACUUAAACUUCACACUGAAUUUUAUUGCCUGUUUUACUCUUCGUGAUUGAAAUUUAUGUUGCAAGUCUUACAGAACUAGAAGUCAUGUAAAAUAUAUAAAUUACAGUAACAUAAUAAAUGAUGCAAAAUCAGAUAAACUUCAUUAAUGGGACAUGAUAACCUUACAAUUAUGCCAUGUCCUAGUAUUUAUAGUAUCUAAGAAACUUAAAAAUAAAAACUUAACUUUGACCAAUGAUUCAUGAAAAUAAGGUCAAGGUCAAUAAACCCUAACCAUUAUUUGAUCCACUGAAUAUAGUUGACAUAGCACAAGGUAUUUAUAGGAUCUGAGAAAGACAUAAUCAUGAAAAUUUAAGGCUGACCAAUAAACCACAACACAAAAGGAUAUGCAUACCAAAAAGUCAUUCAUUUCACCACAUAAUUGCCAAGCAGUAAGGGAAUUGGCCUAAUUAAGAAACUAGAUUGAUCACUGAACAAUGAAAUAAGGUCAAUGUCAGAUAAAACCUAUCUGACAGACAUAUACAGCUUGCAAUCAUUCACUAUAUUCCAAACCCAGAAGACUUAAUACUCAUAAAAUCUGAAAUAAUUGUGAUUAAGAAAUAUGUUUUUAAAAGAAGUCAAUGAACCACGAAAAUGAGGUCAAGGGCAAGAGCAUAAGCACAUUUGUAUACCAUAUAAGGAUUAUGCAGCUUUUCUCCCUUCUGAAAAGUAACAUGUGUAAAACCUUAUACAAAAAGGCUAACAAGGACAUUUUUGGACAAGCAUCCCUCUGUCUCUCUGCAUCAGGUGAGACAAAAUGAAGUAACAAAUAUAAGACAACAUACAAAAAUGAAAAUCAAUUUAAACUGACAAAAAUGUUUUGGCUGAUUGUAAUUGCUAAGAAAUAAUGCUGACAUAUAUGGACCAUAAAACAAGAGGCUCCAAGGAAAAGUUACCACUCUAUGGCUUCUAUGUGUUAUUGAAUUAAAAAAACAUCCACAAAUAUACAAUUAUAUGCCAACAGGCUUAUUCUAUCAAAAAUCAGUUUCAUUUCAAACCAAAACAAAGUUUCCAUGGUAAAAGAUAGAGUAUUGGAAAGCUUACCAGAUAUUGCCAAUUAAAAUUGAGAAUGGAAAUGGUGAAUGUGUUGACAAAGAGACAACAACCCGACAAAAGAGCAGACAUCACACCUUAUAUUUACUUCUAUGUUAAUUUUAAUGCGGCUAAAAAUUGAUCCUUAUACCA